GACGAACGCUGGCGGCGCGCUUAACACAUGCAAGUCGAACGGAAAGGCCUGCUUUCCCUUGUGGAUUGCGGGUACUCGAGUGGCGAACGGGUGAGUAACACGUGAGUGAUCUGCCCCCAACUUGGGUAUAAGCCUGGGAAACUGGGUCUAAUUCCCGAUAGGACUGCAGGGUGGUGCCUGUGGUGGAAAACGAUUUUCUAGUGGUUGGGGAUGAGCUCGCGGCCUAUCAGCUUGUUGGUGGGGUAAUGGCCUACCAAGGCGGCGACGGGUAGCCGGCCUGAGAGGGGGGACGGCCACAUUGGGACGAAGAUACGGCCCAGACUCCUACGGGAGGCAGCAGUGGGGAAUAUUGCACAAUGGGCGGAAGCCUGAUGCAGCGACGCCGCGUGGGGGAUGACGGCCUUCGGGUUGUAAACUCCUUUCGACCGCGAGGAAGCCACCUGGUUGGAAGGGUGGUGACGGUAGUGGUAGAAGAAGCACCGGCUAACUACGU
RNAcentral lists this ribosomal RNA (493 nucleotides) under uncultured bacterium. RNAcentral describes it as "partial 16S ribosomal RNA". It matches the Rfam family "Bacterial small subunit ribosomal RNA", at positions 28 to 506 of the family's 1533-position model. The record is from RNAcentral.